Molecule: ribosomal RNA, 253 nt
Filed under: uncultured bacterium
Lineage: Bacteria
Description: partial 16S ribosomal RNA
Rfam family: Bacterial small subunit ribosomal RNA
Source: RNAcentral
UACGUAGGUGGCAAGCGUUGUCCGGAUUUACUGGGCGUAAAGGGCGUGCAGGCGGUCUGUUAAGUGCAGGGUGAAAGCUCCCGGCUCAACUGGGAGAGGUCCUUGCAUACUGGCGGACUUGAGGGGGGUAGAGGAAAGUGGAAUUCCCGGUGUAGUGGUGAAAUGCGUAGAUAUCGGGAGGAACACCAGUGGCGAAGGCGACUUCCUGGCCUGUUCUUGACGCUGAGGCGCGAAAGCUAGGGGAGCAAACGGG